Molecule: long non-coding RNA, 483 nt
Filed under: Nicotiana benthamiana
Lineage: Eukaryota; Viridiplantae; Streptophyta; Magnoliopsida; Solanales; Solanaceae
Description: long non-coding RNA (NBEN_LNC024760)
Source: RNAcentral
AAGGGUCGGCUCCAAUCAACUUGUCAGACAGGUUGCACCAAGUUCUUCGAUGGGCUCUUGGAUCGGUGGAGAUUUUCUUGAGUAGGCAUUGCCCUUUGUGGUAUGGAUUUGGAGGCGGACGCCUCAAAUGGCUCCAAAGACUUGCCUAUACCAACACCAUUGUCUAUCCUUUCACUUCUCUUCCCCUCAUUGCUUACUGUACUAUUCCUGCAGUUCAAAGACUUGCCUACACCAACACCAUUGUCUAUCCUUUCACUUCUCUUCCCCUCAUUGCUUACUGUACUAUUCCUGCUGUUUGCCUUCUUACAGGAAAAUUCAUCAUCCCUACGGUAAAUGGUUCCACUUCUCUGAGCCUUGUUUCCAACUUUAUAACUAAGAAGUGCACACUGAAAAUGAGUGCAUAUUAUUUGGAGCUGGUAUUGAGGCUGCUUUUUCUUUAGUUUCUUUUACUGAAUCAUAUUCUUGUGCCUUGUAUGCAGCUAU